This 192-nucleotide non-coding RNA is filed under the name Candidatus Hydrogenedentota bacterium. RNAcentral describes it as "Candidatus Hydrogenedentes bacterium (sediment metagenome) 6S RNA". It matches the Rfam family "6S / SsrS RNA". From Rfam's summary of the family: E. coli 6S RNA was the first non coding RNA to be sequenced, but its function was unknown until recently. It consists of 184 nucleotides that fold into an extended hairpin structure with a large single-stranded internal bulge. Lineage: Bacteria; Pseudomonadati; Candidatus Hydrogenedentota. The record is from RNAcentral.
UUUUCCCUGCUGUGUUCGAGUUGGCGAGUAACUUUGUUCCUUACUAUUGAACUGGGAAUCCAAUAUUUGAGUAGUCUACGACAGGCCUCACGGGCUUUGCCUGGAGUGGAAGCCGGACGACUACCGUGAGGAAACCCCCUUGGUGGGCAAGGUUCAAUAAGUUCCUCAGCCUACGGCAUAAGCGGGGAUUUU